CAGUCGCCACGGUAAUACGUAGGGUGCGAGCGUUAAUCGGAAUUACUGGGCGUAAAGUGUGCGCAGGCGGUUAUAUAAGACAGAUGUGAAAUCCCCGGGCUCAACCUGGGACCUGCAUUUGUGACUGUAUAGCUAGAGUACGGUAGAGGGGGAUGGAAUUCCGCGUGUAGCAGUGAAAUGCGUAGAUAUGCGGAGGAACACCGAUGGCGAAGGCAAUCCCCUGGACCUGUACUGACGCUCAUGCACGAAAGCGUGGGGAGCAAACAGGAUUAGAUACCCGUGUAGUCCUUGUCUCUUAUAC
RNAcentral lists this ribosomal RNA (301 nucleotides) under uncultured bacterium. RNAcentral's name for it is "partial 16S ribosomal RNA". It matches the Rfam family "Bacterial small subunit ribosomal RNA", at positions 509 to 807 of the family's 1533-position model. The record is from RNAcentral.